GUCUACGGCCGUGCCACCCUGAACAAGCCCGAUCCCGUCUGAUCUCGGAAGCUAAGCAAGGUUGGGCCUGGUUAGUACUUGGAUGGGAGACCACCUAGGAAGACCAGGUGCUGUAGGUG
This 119-nucleotide ribosomal RNA is filed under the name Pteropus alecto (black flying fox). Lineage: Eukaryota; Metazoa; Chordata; Mammalia; Chiroptera; Pteropodidae. The record is from RNAcentral.